This is a long non-coding RNA of Ruditapes philippinarum (Manila clam), 446 nucleotides long. RefSeq lists it as uncharacterized. The transcript is spliced from 2 exons. NCBI's taxonomy places the organism in Eukaryota, Metazoa, Mollusca, Bivalvia, Venerida, Veneridae. The record is from RefSeq and is a predicted model, not a curated record.
GAUCCAUGCUGUUCGCUUACAGACCCUAUAACAAGUAGCGAAACUGAUAGCGAACAGCAUGGAUCCUGAUCAGACUGCGCGGAUGCGCAGGCUGGUCUGGAUCCAUGCUGGUCGCAAACCCACUAUGUUGGUUUUGUCGUGACGCGGCUCAUUUGCUACAGCUAACCUGAUAUUACUGGUUGUAGACAAACACUGACAGAACCACCACACCAUCUUUUCAACCAAUAGUUAAAGGAUUCGAGCCAUGGAAGCAUCAGCAGAUUUUACAUGUGAGAAAGCUAUCCAGUCAGCUUACAUAAUGUCAGUGGUGCACCUGAGGUUUUCCCCCACCAGUACAGCUGGAUUAGGUUGCCAUAUGACCUACAUUUAGUUUGUGCAAUGUAAAACUUAACAUUAAAAAAAAAUUGUACAAGUUUUGUUUUUUGAUAAAUUAUAUUCAAAGAGCA